AAGGAAAAGAAACCAACCGGGAUUGCCUUAGUAACGGCGAGUGAAGCGGCAAAAGCUCAAAUUUGAAAUCUGGUACCUUCGGUGCCCGAGUUGUAAUUUGGAGAGGGCAACUUUGGGGCCGUUCCUUGUCUAUGUUCCUUGGAACAGGACGUCAUAGAGGGUGAGAAUCCCGUGUGGCGAGGAGUGCGGUUCUUUGUAAAGUGCCUUCGAAGAGUCGAGUUGUUUGGGAAUGCAGCUCUAAGUGGGUGGUAAAUUCCAUCUAAAGCUAAAUAUUGGCGAGAGACCGAUAGCGAACAAGUACAGUGAUGGAAAGAUGAAAAGAACUUUGAAAAGAGAGUGAAAAAGUACGUGAAAUUGUUGAAAGGGAAGGGCAUUUGAUCAGACAUGGUGUUUUGUGCCCUCUGCUCCUUGUGGGUAGGGGAAUCUCGCAUUUCACUGGGCCAGCAUCAGUUUUGGUGGCAGGAUAAAUCCAUAGGAAUGUAGCUUGCCUCGGUAAGUAUUAUAGCCUGUGGGAAUACUGCCAGCUGGGACUGAGGACUGCGACGUAAGUCAAGGAUGCUGGCAUAAUGGUUAUAUGCCGCCC
Molecule: ribosomal RNA, 583 nt
Filed under: Saccharomyces cerevisiae (brewer's yeast)
Lineage: Eukaryota; Fungi; Ascomycota; Saccharomycetes; Saccharomycetales; Saccharomycetaceae
Description: eukaryotic LSU rRNA
Rfam family: Eukaryotic large subunit ribosomal RNA
Source: RNAcentral